UCAAGAAAUAUGCAGAGAAAGAAGAAGAAAAGAGAGAAAAGAAAGAAAGCUGAGUAAAAGAAGAGACUAGUGGUACUUUUGGCUGGUGAAAAUGACUGAAAUGUCUCCAAUUUCUUUGGCUUCUCCUGAAAGGAAGCUUCUUUACUCUUUACAGAGUACGAAAAGAGUUCCUUAAUUAUCUGUGACGAACAUAUGACACAGUUGCUUGCUUGUGAAUGUGGAUGAUCAGUUGAG
This 234-nucleotide long non-coding RNA is filed under the name Manihot esculenta (cassava). Its description in RNAcentral is "long non-coding RNA (MESC_LNC003735)". Lineage: Eukaryota; Viridiplantae; Streptophyta; Magnoliopsida; Malpighiales; Euphorbiaceae. The record is from RNAcentral.